Molecule: long non-coding RNA, 1194 nt
Filed under: Patiria miniata (bat star)
Lineage: Eukaryota; Metazoa; Echinodermata; Asteroidea; Valvatida; Asterinidae
Description: uncharacterized LOC119737474
Source: RNAcentral
CUUACAAGUAAAAGUUCCUAUGCAAAUGUAUUUUCUUUUCCUGUGUGAAUAUUCAAUAGCUAUGUGCAUUCUUAGACAUUCUUCAGUUGGGUGUAGUUCUUUUGUGUUUGAUUAGUUGGGUGUGUAUGUGUGUGUGAGUAUAUAAGUGUAUGGUCAGUGUGACUGCACCCCACUCUAUCACAUAUGAGAGCUCUAUAGACACCAAGACAAAUCUCCUGCUGCCUGCUGCCUGCUGCCACACAUUUUGCUCAGCAGAGUAUUCAGACUCUGAUGCAGAGCAAUACGUAUUAGCAGAGCCGAGCCGUGUACUGCAGCAGUGCCAUUGUAUAGCUGUUAGCUGGGGCAAUUUUGCUCCACUGUCUGCUGGUGAGCUGUAAAACCAGAUACGGGGAACCUCGCUGCAAAACCAAAGUAUUACUGGGGAUUUCAGCCAGUUUGGGGGUCCUUCCACACCGCAUGUGCAUCCAUUUGAAGUAGAUCGGGGCAGUCGCCUACUACUUGCUUGUGCCAAGACCUGACCUCGGGUACUACCACAAGAGCCAGACGAGGACUGGAUUAACCACUUGACAGUUCGGCUGCUCAACUGGAAACCAGAACUGUAUUGGGUUUGCAUUGCUAAAUACCCUGAAUACAUUUAUUGUCAUCGAGUCAAAGAUAGAGUGAAGUCAAGUUAAUUUGUGUCCAAGAACGAGAAAACUACUAUUGUAAUAAGAGUUGUUGUUGUUUUUUGUUUUUUAUAAAAUACAAAUUAAGGAAACAGUUCAGUGUUGAUUCAUUUUCAAUCAAAGAAAACGCAAAAGUGAUCCCACUGGUAUAACAACUAAAAUUUCAGUUUGUUAAAGUCAACAGAAGUGUAAAUUGAGUAGUGUAACAAAAACCUAGUGUAAAUAAGUCAGUGUAUAGUGCACAUACAUGUACUGUGUUUCAAGUAUACGACUUGAAGAUAAUCUUGUUAAUUCAAGUUAAGUGUAACACCGUUGCCAUUAACGGAAGUGUAAUAAGGUUUUUGUAAACAAAAAGAAACUUAAGUAAUCAAGUUUGGAAACAGGAGUUCAAUCAAAGAUUUUUUUUAUUAAUUUAAUUUCGUAGUCAUAGUCACAGAAGUAUACGUGUACAUUUUUAUCAAUAUAAUUGUGUAGUCCUUCAUUGAAUGUUUUUAAUAUUAAAGUUUUUUGUAAAUAAUUGUCACUGAAA